AAAUGCAGAGCACUCAUGGUUGGGAGUGCUGCAGGAAAAAUCCAUCCCACUGUCCUGGAAAGCUCAGCACUUGAACACUGGAGAGGGAAGAGAGAAAUGCAGCUCUCCUGUACAAUGUCUUCCAGGGAAAAUUUCUUCUUGGCCUAAAGUUUGGCACCAGGAGACAGGUGAGACCUUCCUCAAUCAGCCUCAAUUGGGAGGAAAUUGAAAGCAGAGAUAGGAACCAGCUGUGGGCAAUUUGAAUUGCAUUCAUCAUUCAAUUAACUUUGCAUCAGUAUGUGAUGCAGAGAUGGAGAGUUCUGAUAAUGCAGUGAACUAUUACUCCGGAAUCCUCUGGACUUUCAGGACUUUUUGAUGACUUGCCUGAUAAGAAGACUACUGAGAUGAAGACCAUAAUCCCUGGAGGAGCCCUUCAGGGCACUGAACUCCUUAGGAAAUCAGCUGCUGCUGGUGAAGGCCGGACCUGUUUGGAAACUGUAGCCACAAAAGCCAGACUUUCCAGUGUAAUCAGGCCAUUAAACCUCCUGUGGGAAUUUUUAAGGCUGGCUUUAUCUGCCCUGCAGAGAGGAGUGUGGGGAGAGGCUGUUGCGCCAUUGUUCCUCCUGCUGAUGACGCAGACUGGAAUUGCUUCUCCUUGAACGCUGCCUCCAUUGGGGUGAAGCCUGGCUUUGUGUUGUCCUAAUCCCUCACUCCAGACCACAGUGACCACAUGACGUUACAGUAGCCCUGAGGCUGCUCCCUUGUUCUAACACGUGCCACCAGCAAACUGCUCAAAAAGAUAAAAUCUUUGACUAGACUCUGACCCAGUGUCUCAAAACGUUGGUCUGUGAGCAGUCCAGUUGGAUUUGGACUUUACCAACAUAAACAACUGCUUAGAAAAUCCAGAGCCUUGUUUCCUUUCUUUCAUAUCCUCUGUCCUGUCUUCUGUCAUUACAUGUUUCAGCCCAUGACUAUAGACUUUGCUGGAAAGAGUCAGUCUCUCUGGGAGUUACAAAUGUUCAUGCAGUCUCAUCCCCAUUUUUGGAUCAGAGGGAUGGACUUGGAGUGAAGAGGAAGUUUUCUCGUGAUGUAAGAUUGUUUCAAGAUUUUGAUUUUCAGUAUUUUCCUCCCAAACUGCAGUGAGUUUUAUUGUAAUUUUGUGUUUCCUGGUAAUUGACAAAAAAAAAUAAAAAUCCAAACUGGUUGGCAGCAGCAGAAAAGGCACAUAAGGUACCCAAACCUUCUAAAACAAGAACAGUUCUGGCCUGUUCCAAGAUGCCUCCCCCUCCCAAAAUGUUAAACUGGGAGAUUGCUGAAGCUGUUCUGUUCCCAUAGCUGGAUUAGACCUCAGUGAAUCAGCCCUCUGAGAAAUCUCCUUGGGGAAUUCCUGGCAGGCUGUACCCCAGCAUCCCUUGCUGACUAAGUUGGGGGCUUCCUCAAGUAGAGCUGCUGUGUAGGAUGGUGGAUCAAAGCCUUGGUGCUGCAAUCCUGGAGCCCAGUUGUGGAUCACUGAGGAUGGGGAAAAGCCCUGCCCCAUCCUACCUCCCUUUUGUCCUCAAAAUUCCCCAGAAUGGGAGGGAGCUGAGCCCUUCACUGUAGGUGCUGGAUCUGGGAUGAUAGCACACUCAUCUGAGCUCCUGGCUGCACUGAGCCCCAGGCUGCUGCUCUCCCAGGAAUGUCAGGGAAUGCUGGGCUACCUGAGAGACUGGGGCACCAGGCAGGAGUGUGGGAGCCAAAACAUGUACCUGCAGCCUCCCAGACACUGGAAAGCCUCUUGGCUCAGGGGUGUAGAUUUGCCAUGAUGCUGCAAAGGAAAGAUAAAAAGGAUUUGUGUUGCUUAGGAGCUCACCAAAAUUUGUUGGAAUAAACUGGAAGGCAGAAUUCAUCCCAGGAGGCAUUAGACACAGGCAGAGAGAUUUUACUUUUGAGCUUUUAACUUGAUUUGCCUCAUAUGACAUGCCUGCCUUUUCUCUAUUUGGAGUUAUCUUGUCCUGUUUGAACCUUUUUAGUGCUUUAAUAAAACCCAGCCAUGGGGCCAGAAGCCUUUGACUUCUGGCUUGGCUGCCUCCAAGACCAGAUGUGGCAAUUUCACUCCCAAUCCCUCUGAUUCAACCCAGUCCCAAACAGCUUUUAACUGAUGAAGAAAAGGAGACAAAUGCUUGUCAAAGUUGCUCUGGUUGAAAGGAGCAGAGAUGGACGACUGUUUUGGCCAUCAGGGCUCCAGCUCCCUGCCCAGCCAGGAGAAUUUGCUGCCUGCAGUGCUCAAUAAUGUGUGUUUAAAUGGGGGCUGUUCUGCACAUACUAAUUUUGAGCUGUACAUUUUCUUCCAGGAAAUCUGUAUUUGGCUUUAUAACUUCCUAGGAAUAGUUUGUGCAUUGGAAAACCCCCUCCUGCCAUAUGGGAAAGAGCAUUCUUACUUAUGCCCUGUAAAGUAUACAUGAAGUUUUUUUAAUGAAAUGAACUUCCAAAAAUUGCAGAAGUUUGGAAUUUUCAGGGGCUUUGAUGAAAUAG
This is a long non-coding RNA of Passer domesticus (house sparrow), 2490 nucleotides long. RefSeq lists it as uncharacterized. NCBI's taxonomy places the organism in Eukaryota, Metazoa, Chordata, Aves, Passeriformes, Passeridae. The transcript has 2 exons. The record is from RefSeq and is a predicted model, not a curated record.